UACGUAGGGUCCGAGCGUUGUCCGGAAUUACUGGGCGUAAAGCGCGCGCAGGCGGCCCGCGAGGUGUCACGUGAAAGCCCCGGGCUCAACCCGGGAGGGUCGUGGCAAACCGGCGGGCUUGAGGCCGGUAGAGGUGGGUGGAACUCCUGGUGGAGUGGUGAAAUUCGUAGAUAUUGGGAAGAACACCGGUGGCGAAGGCGGCUAUCUGGACCGUAACUGACGCUGAGGCGCGAAAGCGUGGGGAGCAAACAGG
This 253-nucleotide ribosomal RNA is filed under the name uncultured bacterium. RNAcentral describes it as "partial 16S ribosomal RNA". It matches the Rfam family "Bacterial small subunit ribosomal RNA", at positions 524 to 776 of the family's 1533-position model. The record is from RNAcentral.